Long non-coding RNA from Alosa sapidissima (American shad), 778 nucleotides. RefSeq lists it as uncharacterized. Lineage: Eukaryota; Metazoa; Chordata; Actinopteri; Clupeiformes; Clupeidae. The record is from RefSeq and is a predicted model, not a curated record. The transcript is spliced from 3 exons.
AAGUUUCUCAGUGCCCCACCUAGAUUACUCUGGAGGUUGACACAACAGAGUUGCAAUUGGGAAGUCAAAAUCAUUUUGAUUUCCACCAUGGUGCACCCUGACCCAGACAAAAAUAUCCUGGAAAUACUGAGGAAGUUUAUGGUUUCAGGAGGUGCCCCUGCAUUAGUGAUGUCAAUUAUCAUAUUCCAGUAUGUUUUAAAACUGGACUUCACCUGUCCUUGUUCUUCAUCAAAGUAUCAACUUGUCAUUGUGGCAAUGUAUAUGGUGCUGCCUUUUUUCACACUGUUUCUUGUAGUCUGUUUGAAAGACAGACAGUUCAAGAAGACAAUCAAACAUUGUUUCGUUAAAUAUGGAAAAUGUCAAAAACAGUGUGAAUGCUCAAACUGCCUGCAAUUUUGCUUUCUUAUCUGUAAGUGUUUUCUUAAAGGGGGGGUAAUUGCCAUGAUAUGGGUAAUAACAGCAUUAUUUGAUGGAGAGUGGUACAUAUGUUUAAUGACUUAUGGUGGCGAGCAUGAACAACUCUUGUGCAAGAAGAACCGUACUCAAGCAGACAGUCUUACUUUCAACAAGUUGAAGAGUGAAUCACAAGUAAUUGGAUUCGGGUGCCUUUGUGUAGUUUUACUUCUCUGGAUAUUACUCCCUCCUCUCUUUUUAAUGAAGCGUCCAUUCUAUGAAUUAAAGUAUGAAAAAUAUAAAGAAAAGGAGACACACUUGUAUAUAAAAAAGAAAAUACAAGAGCUAGCAAAAGACAAAGCUAAAAUCAUGUGUAUUGAUAUAU